UACGAAGGGUGCAAACGUUGCUCGGAAUUAUUGGGCGUAAAGCGCACGUAGGCGGCUCCAUAAGUCGGAUGUGAAAUCCCUCGGCUCAACCAAGGAAGUGCACCCGAAACUGCGGAGCUUGAGUAUGGAAGAGGGUCGCGGAAUUCCCGGUGUAGAGGUGAAAUUCGUAGAUAUCGGGAGGAACACCAGUGGCGAAGGCGGCGACCUGGGCCAAUACUGACGCUGAGGUGCGAAAGCGUGGGGAGCAAACAGG
Molecule: ribosomal RNA, 253 nt
Filed under: uncultured bacterium
Lineage: Bacteria
Description: partial 16S ribosomal RNA
Rfam family: Bacterial small subunit ribosomal RNA
Source: RNAcentral